Molecule: long non-coding RNA, 346 nt
Organism: Schistocerca nitens (vagrant locust)
Lineage: Eukaryota; Metazoa; Arthropoda; Insecta; Orthoptera; Acrididae
Exons: 3
Source: RefSeq, a predicted model, not a curated record
ACCCUUUCGAUAACGGAGCAAAGAAAUACAAAAAACAAGCACCUGACGACUGGUACUUUAAAAUCAAUAAUGUUCAUCUACUGCACAUAUUAUGUCACCCCUGUAUCUGUAACAGCAGAUGAUGUUGCAGCUUUUCUUUGUUAUUAUGUCUUCAAAUAUUAAUUUUUCUAUAUGUGUCAUGAAAAUGUUGGCUAAUGUUCCUGAGAUAGCUGACACCAUGGGGAUGCAACUGCACAUACUUUCUACAUCAAAGAAGAGCAAUCUUGGAGUGUCAGGGAUUUUAGUGCCUAUUAUAUGUUCUACCAGUUGAGCGGGUAUUUCUGAUUGUUCUAUCAUAUUCUAGUUU